RNAcentral lists this long non-coding RNA (455 nucleotides) under Mus musculus (house mouse). RNAcentral describes it as "long non-coding RNA chrX:103319110-103319565". The record is from RNAcentral. Lineage: Eukaryota; Metazoa; Chordata; Mammalia; Rodentia; Muridae.
AGGGGACCCUGCAUCACCUACAAUGAAGACAAUGGUGUCAUCAAGAUCUUCGUUUAAAAAAAAAAUCCUUGGAAUUGCUCUGCUUAAUGUGAGCAGACUGCUCCUGCUCCUGGUGGACAUGGGAGAGCUACAUUUGUACUUACAGUGCUUUCUGGAAGUUAGGUGAAUUAUUUGCCACUUGGUUUAAAACUGUUUUCCUCAAGAAUAAUGAUAGAUUUCCCAUGUACAAGAAGAUCAGUACAGACCUCAGCAGAAUCUUGAGAAGUCCAGAGAGCCAAAGAGCCCUGCAAACAACACACACUGAUUCAUCAGACUCCUGAACAAGAAUCUACUAAGAACCUGGGAAUCUUAUUGAACUAAACCCACACACAAGGACCCCGCAACAGAACACAGUCCUCACUAAGCCAGACAAAGUCUGGGUGAAGAAAGUAGGGGCCUCAACAAAAGCAAAUCAG